Molecule: ribosomal RNA, 672 nt
Filed under: Bacillus cereus
Lineage: Bacteria; Bacillati; Bacillota; Bacilli; Caryophanales; Bacillaceae
Description: bacterial SSU rRNA
Rfam family: Bacterial small subunit ribosomal RNA
Source: RNAcentral
AUGCAAGUCGAGCGAAUGGAUUGAGAGCUUGCUCUCAAGAAGUUAGCGGCGGACGGGUGAGUAACACGUGGGUAACCUGCCCAUAAGACUGGGAUAACUCCGGGAAACCGGGGCUAAUACCGGAUAACAUUUUGAACUGCAUGGUUCGAAAUUGAAAGGCGGCUUCGGCUGUCACUUAUGGAUGGACCCGCGUCGCAUUAGCUAGUUGGUGAGGUAACGGCUCACCAAGGCAACGAUGCGUAGCCGACCUGAGAGGGUGAUCGGCCACACUGGGACUGAGACACGGCCCAGACUCCUACGGGAGGCAGCAGUAGGGAAUCUUCCGCAAUGGACGAAAGUCUGACGGAGCAACGCCGCGUGAGUGAUGAAGGCUUUCGGGUCGUAAAACUCUGUUGUUAGGGAAGAACAAGUGCUAGUUGAAUAAGCUGGCACCUUGACGGUACCUAACCAGAAAGCCACGGCUAACUACGUGCCAGCAGCCGCGGUAAUACGUAGGUGGCAAGCGUUAUCCGGAAUUAUUGGGCGUAAAGCGCGCGCAGGUGGUUUCUUAAGUCUGAUGUGAAAGCCCACGGCUCAACCGUGGAGGGUCAUUGGAAACUGGGAGACUUGAGUGCAGAAGAGGAAAGUGGAAUUCCAUGUGUAGCGGUGAAAUGCGUAGAGAUAUGGAGGAAC